Molecule: long non-coding RNA, 2189 nt
Organism: Solanum pennellii
Lineage: Eukaryota; Viridiplantae; Streptophyta; Magnoliopsida; Solanales; Solanaceae
Exons: 6
Source: RefSeq, a predicted model, not a curated record
UAUUUAGAAGUGGGACUUGGGUUGGGACUAACACAACUUUAAAAAUUGAUACUAAAAGCAUUCAAGUUGUACUAUACUAUGGCAUAAAUUUUUUGUACCUUUAUCAUUAGGUGUUUGUACCUUUUUACAACUAUGCAUUCGUUUCUUUAUCCUUUCCCAUGUAACACGUGUAAUUGCAUACAUCUCACUACCAUCCUUCAAAGAUUGAAAUUGGGUCUCACUUCUUCUCCCUUAUUUAGAAGUGGGACUUGGGUUGGGACUAACACAACUUUAAAAAUUGAUACUAAAAGCAUUCAAGUUGUACUAUACUAUGGCAUAAAUUUUUUGUACCUUUAUCAUUAGGUGUUUGUACCUUUUUACAACUAUGCAUUCGUUUCUUUAUCCUUUCCCAUGUAACACGUGUAAUUGCAUACAUCUCACUACCAUCCUUCAAAGAUUGAAAUUGGGUCUCACUUCUUCGAAGCUUCAAAUUUUAAAGAAAAUCCGGCAAAGUAGACAAGCUGAGUUUGGUCUCGAAUGGAUUGCUUUCCACAACAUGGAAUAGAAUAUGUACUUUUUCUAAUACCUCAUCUCAUUGCAUGUUCUAAUGAUGUUGUCUUUUGGUUCCAUUUGAAAGUUUACGGGCAUCGAAAUCUCUGCUGGGUAGGAAAUACCGUCAUUCGGUAUUUUAAUUCUAUGAUUGUUUUUGGUUUUUGUUCCAAUUUUUGCUUAAUUUAGGAUUUAUACCACUUAGGUUAGAGAACAUCAUAGAAACAACCUCUCUGCAUUUCAAGGUAAGUGUAAAAUUACUAACAUGGGUUGUGGUAACGGGUGGAAAUUUUCAUACUUAACCAAAAAUUUCGUGUUCGAGCCCUGGAUAUAGAAAAAAUUUUAUUGGGAGCGCCACCCCAGAAUGGACCUUGCAGUGCGAUUUGGAUUUAAUCGCAGCUCCAAUGUAGGCUCCGGACACCGAGUGGGAAACUGAUAAAAGGUUAUAUACUUUGCUUGGCUGGAGUAGUAUGGUUAGAUUCUUCUGCAUAGACUUUUAGAAAUCAAUAAGUCACACAAUUAUGAAUUAUUUUGAUAGACUAAGGCGAUAUCUUUGAUAUAGAAUUAGGAACAUUGCGACUUUAAGAACAAGAUUAAAAUUAUUUUGAUGAAUGGUGGUUAGCCUGUACAUGAAUAUAGCCGGUAUGUACCUAUUUUACUCAUAUUCUAUAUUGUUCUUUCUUCUGCUACUGGUUGAAUGCUUAAUCUCCAUUUUUUUUUUAUCUAAGGGUAAUAUUUAUAUCUGGGAGAAGUCUUUGUUGAGUUGAAAUCAAAUGUUUCUCAUCGAAAUAUGUGAAUCUUCGGAAGACUUGAUUGAAGGAUUUUUGCGCUUGAUUUCUUCCCGGAUAUGAGGAAUUGUUCUCUGUCAUUGGUGAAUUAUGUUGUAAAAAUUUUGAUAAAAAAAGUACCUCAUUGUAGAUGGGUUAACUAACUCUAAAGAUUUACAACUACUAAAUUUCAUUUGCAGUGAAAAAUGACCUUCCACGAGCAGGGGAAACAAAGAGGUCUACAAACUACAUCUCUUAUUAAUCAUAGACCACUUGCACCUGCUAUUUCAUGGGACCAAAGAGCUUUAGGUGAACCACUUUCAUACAGUGAUAUGUUACGACUUCUCGAGUCCGCUGUAGAGCAGUUUGCUCCACCUAAUUUACAAGCUCAAAUGAUCGCGGAAAAGUCUCAUUUGCAGGUGGAAAAAACCAUCAAAAUGUUUGCAAAUGCAAAUAGAGACUUUUUAAGGUUCAAGUGAAGGAGGAUGGAAAGGACGGCAAACAAACUGCUAUUCUGAUCUACGAGUAGUUCAUAUUGAGAGAUAAUCUUACUUAUGGUCUUCUAUGCGGGUUAUGAGGCACCAAACUCGGAGAGAAUCAAAUAGGGAAUAUGCCUAUUUACUACGGAGACGAAGAAUCAGUGAUACCUAGCCCUCCAUAUACCUGCAAUUUCACAAAAGAAUUGAAGAGAAUGAGGAAGAUGAUCAUCAACAGAUCUUUGGAGCUCUCCUUUGUGUUAAAUAUAGUGUUUAGGGAGAUUAGAUGUAUUUUGGUUUGACUACGGUAUUAGGAAAUAACCAUAUUUGACUCUGUAUUUAUGUGAUUAUUAUAUGCUCGAUUGAGUUGUGCAAAUUUUAGUUUUUCAAGUGAUAAAAACAUGAAAUUUCCUUCCAA